Molecule: non-coding RNA, 100 nt
Organism: Podarcis lilfordi (Lilford's wall lizard)
Lineage: Eukaryota; Metazoa; Chordata; Lepidosauria; Squamata; Lacertidae
Source: the annotation of a GenBank genome assembly
AUAGAUAUAUAUACACACACAUACAUCCACACGUAUCAAGGGCAGGCCCGAGAAGCCGCAGUUGUUGUGUGUGUGUGUGUGUGUGUGUGUGUGUGUGUGU